RNAcentral lists this long non-coding RNA (1644 nucleotides) under Piliocolobus tephrosceles (Ugandan red Colobus). RNAcentral's name for it is "lncRNA (ENSPTEG00000023432.1)". The record is from RNAcentral. Lineage: Eukaryota; Metazoa; Chordata; Mammalia; Primates; Cercopithecidae.
AUGAAGAUGAAAAAUAAUUCUUAUAUAGAUACAGGUACAGUACCGAUUAAUAGUAUAUUAGUUGAGGAAACAGAACAACUGGUUGACACAUAUAAAUUUAAUAAUGAAUCUGAUAAAAAGUAUCAUAAAUCUACUAUAACAAAAAGAAAAGUUAGUAAAUAUAGUUUGAGUUUUCAUAAAUCAUUAGCAGUCGUAAAUGUAGCUGCAGGAUUAGAUGGAUGUGAUGAUCAAUUACUACCAGCUAGUUUCAGAGCAUUAGAAGCAGAUUUAAAUUUACAUCCAUCUUUAUUAGGUUAUAUUACAUUAGCACAAACAUUAAUGUUAAGUUUAUUUAGUCCUAUAUGGGGCUUUUUAUCUGAUAGAUAUUCUAGAAAAGGGAUGCUAGUUUUUGGUACAGCUUUAUGGGGUGUAGCAACAAUACUUUUAGCCAACAUAAAUGAUUUUGCUCACAUUGUAUUUUUUCGAGCUAUCAACGGUAUGGCAUUAGGUAGUAUAGGUCCUAUAUCUCAAAGUAUAUUAGCAGAUGCAGCAAAAAAUGAAAAUCUCGGUUUAUCAUUUGGUCUUGUUCAGUUAUCAUCCAGUAUAGGAAGAUUAAUUGGUGGUGUUGUUACUACAACAGUGGCAUUAAAUUAUUAUGGUGGCAUAAGAGGUUGGAGAUUAUGUUUUAUUACUGUUGGUGUACUUAGUAUUUUAUUAAGUAUUAUAGUAGCUUUUUUUGUAGAUGAUGCACCAAGACAGGUUCGAAAAAAACCUUUUACAAUUCCUACAUCGCAAUUAAAAGAUGAUGUAGCAAAUUCAGCAACAAAUGGUGGUGAUAAUGUAACUAGACCAGAUAGUUUAAGAAGUGAAUAUAGUCAAAGCUAUAUAUUAUAUCAAAACAUUAAAGAAUUACUUAGAGAUAGUUUAUCAAAAAAAAGUAUUAUUAUUAUACUUUUAGAAGGUUUUACUGGUACAAUUCCAUGGUUAGCUUUAAGCUUUAAUACUAUGUUUUUUCAAUAUUGUGGUUUAAGUGAUUUACAAGCAGCUGUUAUAACUGGAUGUUUAUUAAUCGGUAGUGCAUUAGGUGGUGUUAUUGGUGGACAUUUUGGUGACAUCAUGCAUGAUAUAUCUGAUACACAUGGUAGACCACUUUUAGGUCAAAUAGCUAUGUUUGGCAGAGUACCCCUUGUUUUUUUUAUUUACACCAUUAUACCUAAAAAAAGUGAAAGUUUUGAAUUAUUUAGUUUAGCUUGUUUUUUGCUUGGUUUAUCAUCCAUAGCAGGUGUAGCUGUCAAUAGACCUAUCGUAUCAGAUAUUAUUAGGCCAGAUUAUAGAGGUACAGUUUUUUCAUUAACUAUAGCUAUAGAAGGUGUAGGUUCUUCUUUAAUAGGUGCACCUUUGUUUGGUUAUUUAGCAGAAAAAGUGUUUAGUUAUGAAAAUACUAGUUUAUUAAUUUCGGAAAUGCCUGAUCAGUUAAGAAGUAACAAUGCAGAAGCGCUUUCAAAAACAUUAUUUUAUAUGACAUUAAUCCCUUGGAUAAUGUCCUUUAUAUUUUACAGCUUGUUGCAUUUUACAUAUGGAAAAGAAUAUCGCAAUAUGAAUCAAAUUAUUGAAAGGGAGUACAAGUAUGAUGAUGAGGAUGAUGGUGAUGUUAUAGACGGGUAA